Long non-coding RNA from Cygnus olor (mute swan), 606 nucleotides. RefSeq lists it as uncharacterized. Lineage: Eukaryota; Metazoa; Chordata; Aves; Anseriformes; Anatidae. The transcript is spliced from 2 exons. The record is from RefSeq and is a predicted model, not a curated record.
UUCGAAGAGCUUUCACGUUCAGUCAACAAUGGAACAGUCUUCUACAGCCAGACCCAACCCCUGGAGCUCUAACAAAAUACAUCCAGCUUCAGUCAGAGACGGACCUGGAAGGACUGAGCCGUGCAGUAUGGCAUAGUUUAGGAUCAAAUACUAUGGUUACAAGAUGGUUUGGCAAAGACUCUCUCCAGAAAGGCUCUUCUUGAAGUUGCAUGAAACCUCCACCCUAGGCUGUGGCACCACAGGCCUGGGUACCCAGUUCAGAGCAUCCCAAAGUGGACGAGGAAAGAGUGGGACUUCUGAGGAGUGUAAGGAUGGAAGUUGUGGAAAAGCAGCUUCUGGUGGUUUGGUUGUGGAGAUCUGUUCUUGGCCAGCAACCUCUGUGAGAACAAGAUUUAGAUGUAGAGCUUAGUGAUGUGGUUUAGUGGAGGACUUGUUAGUCUUAGGUCAGAGGUUGGACUAGAUGAUCUUGGAGGUCUCUUCCAACCUAGAUGAUUCUGUGAUUCUGUAAUUCUGUAACAAGGAACUGUCUGCUCCUGCCACAACUGCUUGCCUGCUUAUGUUACAAUAUACAAUAAACAUACAUUAUGUACGGUGAAUGCAUAUGGG